AGUGAACGCUGGCGGUAGGCCUAACACAUGCAAGUCGAACGGCAGCACAGUAAGAGCUUGCUCUUACGGGUGGCGAGUGGCGGACGGGUGAGGAAUACAUCGGAAUCUACUUUUUCGUAGGGGAUAACGUAGGGAAACUUACGCUAAUACCGCAUACGACCUACGGGUGAAAGCAGGGGAUCUUCGGACCUUGCGCGAUUGAAUGAGCCGAUGUCGGAUUAGCUAGUUGGCGGGGUAAAGGCCCACCAAGGCGACGAUCCGUAGCUGAUCUGAGAGGAUGAUCAGCCACACUGGAACUGAGACACGGUCCAGACUCCUACGGGAGGCAGCAGUGGGGAAUAUUGGACAAUGGGCGCAAGCCUGAUCCAGCCAUACCGCGUGGGUGAAGAAGGCCUUCGGGUUGUAAAGCCCUUUUGUUGGGAAAGAAAAGCAGCAUGUUAAUACCCCGCUGUUCUGACGGUACCCAAAGAAUAAGCACCGGCUAACUUCGUG
This 492-nucleotide ribosomal RNA is filed under the name uncultured bacterium. Its description in RNAcentral is "partial 16S ribosomal RNA". It matches the Rfam family "Bacterial small subunit ribosomal RNA", at positions 29 to 507 of the family's 1533-position model. The record is from RNAcentral.